This 3279-nucleotide long non-coding RNA is filed under the name Triticum aestivum (bread wheat). RNAcentral's name for it is "long non-coding RNA (TAES_LNC014711)". Lineage: Eukaryota; Viridiplantae; Streptophyta; Magnoliopsida; Poales; Poaceae. The record is from RNAcentral.
GUGUAGGUCCUGUUGUUGUCCAAUAGAGACAUAUCACCUAGAACCAUAAAUAUCUAGUGGUGCUACUGUUGAAACUUGAAACUGGAGCGAGUUAUUUGGGGUGGCUCAACAUGUCAUAGCAAUAUGGUGCCUAGAGCACCUUAUCUUCUUAUGUCUUAUUAUUUGGCACAAACCAAACUUUAUUAUAUUAAGUAUUCACGUUUCUAAAGACAAAUUGUUUCGUAUUCUGCUUCCGUGGGUUUCAUUGUAUAUGCUUGCCGUGUAUGUUAAAAAUUCAGUUAAAAAUAGCAAAUUCAGGCACAAGUCAUGUUUUGAAUCUGGCAACGUGCAAUUUGAAUUAUUGUCGUCCUCUUUAUCUCUUCUAGAUUUUUUUUUGCGGAAAUCUCUUCUAGAUUUUAGAUUCAUCAACCAGGGUAUCAUUUCCAACCAUCAAUGUCCUAGCAGGAGAUCACUUCCUUUUUUUGCGUAUGUCCUUCCUUAUCUUUUCCAUCCUUAAAUUAUAAGAUACGUAGCAGCGCGCAGAUGUAUAUAGAAAUAUUAUCCUUCUUUAUUUCUCUUUUGAAGAGCCUCUGGUUCCUUCCUUAUUUAUCAUGAUCUCUGAGAGACUUCCUGAUACCCAGGAAAUGAAUGAUGUAUAUAAAUAAGAUAGAUUGGAUGUAAAUCAGCGAGGUGGGACUAUUCAAUAUCGGCCUCAACCUUCCCUUGUAGACACAGGACGUUAGCUUAGUUGGCCUUGAUUUUUGCCUCUUAACCGGGAUAGAUGGGCCUCAACUUUCCCUUGUACACACAGGAUGUUAGCUUAGUUGGCCUUGAUUUUUGCCUCUUAACCGGGAUAGAUGGGCCGGAUUUUCUGGACCAUGACACAUGGGUUGGUUCGUUCGCUCGGCCUCGCUGGCUGACGAAGGAAACUGACGUACGAAAUAGCGGACGGACGAAACGGACGAAAAUCAGGGCGUAAGAAGCGUUUCGUGCUUUAUUAUUAGGUAAAGAUGUGUAGGUCCUGUUGUUGUCCAAUAGAGACAUAUCACCUGGAACCAUAAAUAUCUAGUGGUGAUACUGUUGAAACUUGAAACUGGAGCGAGUUAUUUGGUGUGACUCAACAUGUCAUACCAAUAUGGUGCCUAGAGCAGCUUAUCUUCUUAUGUCUUAUUAUUUGGCACAAACCAAACUUUAUUAUUUUAAGUAUUCACGUUUCUAAAGACAAAUUGUUUCGUAUUCUGCUUCCGUGGGUUUCAUUGUAUAUGCUUGCCGUGUGUGUUAAAAUUUCAGUUAAAAAUAGCAAAUUCAGGCAUAUGUCAUGUUUCGAAUCUGGCAACGUCCAAUUUGAAUUAUUGUCGUCCUCUUUAUCUCUUCUAGAUUUUUUUUUGCGGAAAUCUCUUCUUGAUUUUAGAUUCAUCAACCAGGGUAUCAUUUCCAACCGUCAGUGUCCUAGCUGGAGAUCACUUCCUUUUUUUGCGUAUGUCCUUCCUUAUCUUUUCCAUCCUUAAAUUAUAAGAUACGUAGCAGCGCGCACAUGUAUAUAAAAAUAUUAUCCUUCUUUAUUUCUCUUGUGAAGAGUCUCUGGUUCCUUCCUUAUUUACCAUGAUCUCUGAGAGACUUCCUGAUACCCAGGAAAUGAAUGAUGUAUAUAAAUAAGAUAGAUUGGAUGUAAAUCAGCUAGGUGGGACUAGUCAAUAUCGGCCUCAACCUUCCCUUGUAGACACAGGACGUUAGCUUAGUUGACCUUGAUUUUUGCUUCUUAACCGGGAUAGAUGGGCCUCAACUUUCCCUUGUACACACAGGACGUUAGCUUAGUUGGCCUUGAUUUUUGCCUCUUAACCGGGAUAGAUGGGCCGGUUUUCUGGACCAUGACACAUGGGUUGGUUCGUUCGCUCGGCCUCGCUGGCUAACGAAGGAAACUGACGUACGAAAUAGCGGACGGAUGAAACGGACGAAAAUUAGGGCGUAAGAAGCGUUUCGUGCUUUAUUAUUAGGUAAAGAUGUGUAGGUCCUGUUGUUGUCCAAUAGAGACAUAUCACCUGGAACCAUAAAUAUCUAGUGGUGAUACUGUUGAAACUUGAAACUGGAGCGAGUUAUUUGGUGUGGCUCAACAUGUCAUAGCAAUAUGGUGCCUAGAGCAGCUUAUCUUCUUAUGUCUUAUUAUUUGGCACAAACCAAACUUCAUUAUAUUAAGUAUUCACGUUUCUAAAGACAAAUUGUUUCGUAUUCUGUCUCCGUGGGUUUCAUUGUAUAUGCUUUCCAUGUGUGUUAAAAAUUCAGUUAAAAAUAGCAAAUUCAGGCACAUGUCAUGUUUCGAAUCUGGCAACGUGCAAUUUGAAUUACUGUCGUCCUCUUUAUCUCUUCUAGAUUUUUUUUGCGGAAAUCUCUUCUAGAUUUUAGAUUCAUCAACCAGGGUAUGAUUUCCAACCGUCAAUGUCCUAGCAGGAGAUCACUUCCUUUUUUUGUGUAUGUCCUUCCUUAUCUUUUCCAUCCUUAAAUUAUAAGAUACGUAGCAGCGCGCACAUGAAUAUAUAAAUAUUAUCCUUCUUUAUUUCUCUUGUGAAGAGCCUCUGGUUCCUUCCUUAUUUAUCAUGAUCUCUGAGAGACUUCCUGAUACCCAGGAAAUGAAUGAUGUAUAUAAAUAAGAUAGAUUGGAUGUAAAUCAGCGAGGCGGGACUAUUCAAUAUCGGCCUCAACCUUCCCUUGUAGACACAGGACGUUAGCUUAGUUGGCCUUGAUUUUUGCCUCUUAACCGGGAUAGAUGGGCCUCAACUUUCCCUUGUACACACAGGACGUUAGCUUAGUUGGCCUUGAUUUUUGCCGCUUAACCGGGAUAGAUGAGCCUGAUUUUCUGGACCAUGACACAUGGGUUGGUUCGUUCGCUCGGCCUCGCUGGCCGACGAAGGAAACUGACGUACGAAAUAGCGGACGGACGAAACGGACGAAAAUCAGGGCGUAAGAAGCGUUUCGUGCUUUAUUAUUAGGUAAAGAUGUGUAGGUCCUGUCGUUGUCCAAUAAAGACAUAUCACCUGGAACCAUAAAUAUCUAGUGGUGAUACUGUUGAAACUUGAAACUGGAGCGAGUUAUUUGGUGUGGCUCAACAUGUCAUAGCAAUAUGGUGCCUAGAGCAGCUUAUCUUCUUCUGUCUUAUUAUUUGGCACAAACCAAACUUUAUUAUAUUAAGUAUGCACGUUUCUAAAGACAAAUUGUUUCGUAUUCUGCUUCCGUGGGUUUCAUUGUAUAUGCUUGCCGUGUGUGUUAAAAAUUCAGUUAAAAAUAGCACAUUCAGGCACAUGUCAU